RNAcentral lists this ribosomal RNA (434 nucleotides) under Leptotrichia wadei. Its description in RNAcentral is "bacterial SSU rRNA". It matches the Rfam family "Bacterial small subunit ribosomal RNA", at positions 28 to 479 of the family's 1533-position model. Lineage: Bacteria; Fusobacteriati; Fusobacteriota; Fusobacteriia; Fusobacteriales; Leptotrichiaceae. The record is from RNAcentral.
GAUGAACGCUGACAGAAUGCUUAACACAUGCAAGUCUUUGGCGAAGCUGUGCUUGCACAGCCUAGCCAAGGCGGACGGGUGAGUAACGCGUAAGGGACUUGCCCUGCAGUCAGGGAUAACAGACGGAAACGACUGAUAAAACCUGAUAAAGUCAGGCGGACUCAUGUCCAGCCUGAUGAAAAGGAAUGCUGCAGGAGAGCCUUGCGUCCUAUUAGCUUGUUGGUGGGGUAACGGCCCACCAAGGCGAUGAUAGGUAGCCGGCCUGAGAGGGUGGACGGCCACAAGGGGACUGAGAUACGGCCCUUACUCCUACGGGAGGCAGCAGUGGGGAAUAUUGGACAAUGGGGGCAACCCUGAUCCAGCAAUUCUGUGUGCACGAUGAAGGUCUUCGGAUUGUAAAGUGCUUUCAGCAGGGAAGAAAAAAAGACGGUACC